GAUGAACGCUGGCGGCGUGCCUAAUACAUGCAAGUCGAGCGAACAGAUGAGGAGCUUGCUCCUCUGACGUUAGCGGCGGACGGGUGAGUAACACGUGGAUAACCUACCUAUAAGACUGGGAUAACUACGGGAAACCGGAGCUAAUACCGGAUAAUAUAUUGAACCGCAUGGUUCAAUAGUGAAAGACGGUUUUGCUGUCACUUAUAGAUGGAUCCGCGCCGCAUUAGCUAGUUGGUAAGGUAACGGCUUACCAAGGCAACGAUGCGUAGCCGACCUGAGAGGGUGAUCGCCCACACUGGAACUGAGACACGGUCCAGACUCCUACGGGAGGCAGCAGUAUGGAAUCUUCCGCAAUGGGCGAAAGCCUGACGGAGCAACGCCGCGUGAGUGAUGAAGGUCUUCGGAUCGUAAAACUCUGUUAUUAGGGAAGAACAAAUGUGUAAGUAACUAUGCACGUCUUGACGGUACCUAAUCAGAAAGCCACGGCUAACUACGUG
Molecule: ribosomal RNA, 497 nt
Filed under: uncultured bacterium
Lineage: Bacteria
Description: partial 16S ribosomal RNA
Rfam family: Bacterial small subunit ribosomal RNA
Source: RNAcentral